CCUACGGGUGGCAGCAGUGAGGAAUAUUGGUCAAUGGGCGAGAGCCUGAACCAGCCAAGUCGCGUGAAGGAUGACGGCCCUACGGGUUGUAAACUGCUUUUGUCAGGGAGCAAUUGGGUCCACGCGUGGGCUUAGCGAGAGUACCUGCAGAAAAAGCAUCGGCAAACUCCUGGCCAGCAGCCGCGGUAAUACGGAGGCUGCGAGCGUUAUCCGGAUUUAUGGGGUUUAAGGGGUGGGUAGGCGGAAUAUCAAGUCAGCGGUAAAAAUUCGGGGCUCAACCCCGUCGUGCAGUUGAAACUGAUGUUCUUGAGUGGGCGACAAGUAUGCGGAAUGCGUGGUGUAGCGGUGAAAUGCAUAGAUAUCACGAGGAACUCCGAUUGCGAAGGCAGCAUACCGGCGCCCAACUGACGCUGAAGCACGAAGGCGUGGGUAUCGAACAGGAUUAGAUACCCCAGUAGUC
This 460-nucleotide ribosomal RNA is filed under the name uncultured bacterium. RNAcentral describes it as "partial 16S ribosomal RNA". It matches the Rfam family "Bacterial small subunit ribosomal RNA", at positions 338 to 795 of the family's 1533-position model. The record is from RNAcentral.